CGAACCUACUAACACAAUAAAUAAUACAAUGUGUAUAACAAUGUGAAUAACAUAAAUACAUAUAUUUUUUCUUUAUUUGUUCAAAAUCACAUUUAUCCUAGAAUGAUUACAUCGCCAUAUUCUGUUCAUCAUAUAUCAAGUUACAAAUACAAAGACGAGCAGAAUUGACAAGUGAAUAAUAGAUAAUUUUUCAAAACACAGAGAAUUAAAAAUUUUUUCUAUUUAACAAUAUAUAUGUUUCAACAUGCUAUCAACAGAUUACGUAAUUAUUCAAGUUUAUUCAAGAUUUAGUAUCGUUGUCGUUCUAUAUGACAUUUUUUUUCAACAUUUCGUUAAUUUCCGCUUCGUUCAAUAUUUAGAGACAUGCCCAGUCCCGUUUAAAACGCGCCUUUUUGCCGCGUGCAUCGUAUCCGCUGCUAGGAUAACGUUGGUACGUGAAGCAGGGUGCAGUAGUUGAUACUCGUUAAAGUAGUAACAACUUUACCGACAAUACCGUUGGGUGUAUAAUAUACGCGCAUUGGAAUGUAUGCAAACUAGGCUAGAAUACAAAUCAGAUGCUGAGAGGUUUGGCGUGAAGUUUAAGAAGUUUUGUCUACCCGAAUGAAUAGCGUGGUGGAUAUCAUGGAUAAAUGACUCGAGAGUCUGGGUCAGGACUAAAGAGGUUAUUACUUUUCUUAAGAUGCCGGAAACUUGAAUAAUUCUUUCAUUAAAAUUGCGCAAUAUUAUACAUCACAGUAAGUUUGUUCAGUUGGAAUAUUCUCAAUUAUUUUUAGGUACGUGAUAAAACUUUAUUUAUUAAUGUUGCGCCAUUGUAUCAUAUUAUUAGAUCACGUAAUCAGUGAUAUAUUUUUGAGGUUAGAGAAUUUCAAAUAUUUUAAAGUAAACGAUCUCGUAUGUUUGAAUAAAAAAUUUUAUUUAAUAAUCCAUAUUUGUCUGUCAUAUGAGAUCAUUCAACAUUAAAUGAUGGAGCAAAAAGACUUUGUCAUGGGAGAUGCACGAAGUGUUCAUUUGAAUCGAUACAACAUUGCAAUUCUUAAGCUAUGGAAGUUGUAGUAGCGACAUGAUGGAUGUCCCAUAUAUUAUGCACAUGGUGUAAGAGCUAUCUUCCAAUGAGAUUUUUCCGUAUAGAUGCGAGAUUGAUGAUAUUCUCUAUCUAGAUAAACUAUGCAUAAAUAGUGCCAAGUUUACACAUAUACUUCAAAUUUAAUUGUUCCUUUUACUACAUAUAUAAUGCUAAUCUAUACUUAAUAUAAUAUUCUUAUACAGAAAUAAACACAUAGAUAGACUGGAUACAUAGAUAAAUUACACACUAAUGUUAACUUCAAGAUAAAAGAUUCGUUGGCGAAACGUUUCUCAGCUAGAAGAAACGAGGAGAAGAAAGAAGAAAGAAGAAAGAAAAAUGAAAGGUGGCAUCUCGACGGUGCGGGUAUCCAGGCGAGGUCGACCCUUAUCGUUUCGCGAAUGGCCACGUGAUCGAAUUUAGCCGAGAUUGAAGCUGACCGUGCACGGUCGUACAGGACUUCCGGUUUUUCACGGAAGACCCGGAGUAGUGUGCCAAAUCCGCACGACGUGCAGCAACUUCGCCCGGUACCUGCUACCUGAUAUGAUUUUCGGCAUGUCUUCGCUCAGCCCCGGGAAAAUGGAAUUUCCUCUCGUCUCAUUUUCGUAUGCGUACUCUUCUAUGUAGUACGUGUGUUCGCAAUCCUGACGAACGAUAGAUAUAUCGCUUAAGUAAAACGUCAAAUUCGUAUUUAUAAUAAUAUUCCAUCUUUUGAAAGAAUGAUGGUAAAAUUAGAAGUUUCCAGAAAUGAUACGAUUUCCAGAUAACUGUGCGUGAUGAUUUUACUUUAAAAUGAUUAAUGAUAUGAUCAACUCGUUGGCAUAUAUGUUGUCACAAAGAGAUUAAAAAUGAUAAAUUUAUACCGGGAAUAUUGUGGAAAUUUUAAAAAAUAUUAUUGAUCAAAUAUCAUUUAUUAAAGCUUGUUUUAAAGAACUUUAAACGAGCGAAGAAACGCUGGAAUAAUACUCGGUAUAAUUACGCCAAGGUGUUUAAAACAGAUUAAAACUGAUAAUCGUAAAAGAAAUAGGAGGAAGCACAUAGGCGAAAUAACCGUGCUACCAAUUACGUCGUUGACUCCUUAUUACACGGAAGUAAUCAGCCUAUCAGUAUCAUCUGUGCAACUCGAUCUGAAAAAAGGAAAAACGACGAGAGUUGGGGGUGAUGGGACACGGGAAAAUCAUUAUUGGCCGCAAUCACGCGAAGUUCGCACUGUGUCGAAGUUUACACUCGAAUUCACCCUCGUGUUCAAAACCACUCUUCUUUCGACAACACGCUUUUCAUGUGGCACCGCGAACUGACCAAAUUGAAAACAGGGGGAAAAUGUAGAGAUAUAAAAAGAGAAAAAAAAAGAGAGUUCGUUAAGUGAAUAAUUGUUCAUAUGGUGUAUUUGGAUAAUGAGUAGAAAUAUAACAAAUACUCAGAAAUAAAAACAUGUAUGGAAGAUUUAAAAGUCAAUCGAUUAUAUUUAUAGAUGAGAAUGUAGAGCUCGCCUCGCAAUAUGUGAAAUGUUGUGAAAUCCUUGCGUUGGUGUCGUUGGGGGCAACAAUACCGAGGUUCGGUUCGAGGGCAGGGUGAACGAGAAAUGUUUACUCGAACUUUCGAGAGAUUGUCGUCCGCGAGAGAGAGAACAGGAAGAGCGACCCGUUUUAUCCGUAAAACGGUGUUUCACUCCGGAUGGGAUUUUUGGAAAAUUUCAUUUCGCUCGUUCGGGUAAUGUGAUAACGGCCACGUGAAUUUGUAUGCGUUAUAGAAAUGUUUAUAAAAUUGGAAAUGAGAAGGAAAGUAAAAAGUAAUACAUAUCUUUAACUACGUUGCUGCUUCUUCACUUUGUAUAUUAAUUAGAAAUUGUUUAACAAUUGAUAUGUGUACUUUUGUUAAGUAUCAUUUAUAAAAAAUGUUACACAUAGUGUGUGAA
Molecule: long non-coding RNA, 2975 nt
Organism: Apis mellifera (honey bee)
Lineage: Eukaryota; Metazoa; Arthropoda; Insecta; Hymenoptera; Apidae
Exons: 9
Source: RefSeq, a predicted model, not a curated record